GAAUGCUGACAUAAGUAACGAUAAAGCGGGUGAAAAGCCCGCUCGCCGGAAGACCAAGGGUUCCUGUCCAACGUUAAUCGGGGCAGGGUGAGUCGACCCCUAAGGCGAGGCCGAAAGGCGUAGUCGAUGGGAAACGGGUUAAUAUUCCCGUACUUGGUGUUACUGCGAAGGGGGGACGGAGAAGGCUAUGUUGGCCGGGCGACGGUUGUCCCGGUUUAAGCGUGUAGGUGUGUGUUCCAGGUAAAUCCGGUUCACUUUAACACUGAGGCGUGACGACGAGGCACUACGGUGCUGAAGCAACAAAUGCCCUGCUUCCAGGAAAAGCCUCUAAGCAUCAGGUAACA
This 344-nucleotide ribosomal RNA is filed under the name Salmonella enterica subsp. enterica serovar Typhimurium. RNAcentral describes it as "partial 23S ribosomal RNA". It matches the Rfam family "Bacterial large subunit ribosomal RNA", at positions 1292 to 1636 of the family's 2925-position model. Lineage: Bacteria; Pseudomonadati; Pseudomonadota; Gammaproteobacteria; Enterobacterales; Enterobacteriaceae. The record is from RNAcentral.